Molecule: ribosomal RNA, 468 nt
Filed under: uncultured bacterium
Lineage: Bacteria
Description: partial 16S ribosomal RNA
Rfam family: Bacterial small subunit ribosomal RNA
Source: RNAcentral
GAUGAACGCUGGCGGCGUGCCUAACACAUGCAAGUCGAGCGAUUCUCUUCGGAGAAGAGCGGCGGACGGGUGAGUAACGCGUGGGUAACCUGCCCUGUACACACGGAUAACAUACCGAAAGGUAUGCUAAUACGGGAUAACAUAAGAAAUUCGCAUGUUUUUCUUAUCAAAGCUCCGGCGGUACAGGAUGGACCUGCGUCUGAUUAGCUAGUUGGUGAGGUAACGGCUCACCAAGGCAACGAUCAGUAGCCGACCUGAGAGGGUGAUCAGCCACAUUGGAACUGAGACACGGUCCAAACUCCUACGGGAGGCAGCAGUGGGGAAUAUUGCACAAUGGGCGAAAGCCUGAUGCAGCAACGCCGCGUGAGCGAUGAAGGCCUUCGGGUCGUGAAGCUCUGUCCUCAAGGAAGAUAAUGACGGUACUUGAGGAGGAAGCCCCGGCUAACUACGUGCCAGCCGCCGCCGUAA